UACGGAGGGUGCGAGCGUUAAUCGGAAUUACUGGGCGUAAAGCGCGCGUAGGCGGUUUGUUAAGUCAGCUGUGAAAGCCCCGGGCUUAACCUGGGAACUGCAGUUGAUACUGGCCGACUAGAGUACGAGAGAGGGAGGUAGAAUUCCAUGUGUAGCGGUGAAAUGCGUAGAUAUAUGGAGGAAUACCGGUGGCGAAGGCGGCCUCCUGGCUCGAUACUGACGCUGAGGUGCGAAAGCGUGGGGAUCAAAC
RNAcentral lists this ribosomal RNA (250 nucleotides) under uncultured bacterium. Its description in RNAcentral is "partial 16S ribosomal RNA". It matches the Rfam family "Bacterial small subunit ribosomal RNA", at positions 524 to 773 of the family's 1533-position model. The record is from RNAcentral. RNAcentral also lists the same sequence under 1 other name.